ACGGUAACAGGAAGCAGCUUGCUGCUUCGCUGACGAGUGGCGGACGGGUGAGUAAUGUCUGGGAAACUGCCUGAUGGAGGGGGAUAACUACUGGAAACGGUAGCUAAUACCGCAUAACGUCGCAAGACCAAAGAGGGGGACCUUCGGGCCUCUUGCCAUCGGAUGUGCCCAGAUGGGAUUAGCUAGUAGGUGGGGUAACGGCUCACCUAGGCGACGAUCCCUAGCUGGUCUGAGAGGAUGACCAGCCACACUGGAACUGAGACACGGUCCAGACUCCUACGGGAGGCAGCAGUGGGGAAUAUUGCACAAUGGGCGCAAGCCUGAUGCAGCCAUGCCGCGUGUAUGAAGAAGGCCUUCGGGUUGUAAAGUACUUUCAGCGGGGAGGAAGGGAGUAAAGUUAAUACCUUUGCUCAUUGACGUUACCCGCAGAAGAAGCACCGGCUAACUCCGUGCCAGCAGCCGCGGUAAUACGGAGGGUGCAAGCGUUAAUCGGAAUUACUGGGCGUAAAGCGCACGCAGGCGGUUUGUUAAGUCAGAUGUGAAAUCCCCGGGCUCAACCUGGGAACUGCAUCUGAUACUGGCAAGCUUGAGUCUCGUAGAGGGGGGUAGAAUUCCAGGUGUAGCGGUGAAAUGCGUAGAGAUCUGGAGGAAUACCGGUGGCGAAGGCGG
This 669-nucleotide ribosomal RNA is filed under the name uncultured Pseudomonadota bacterium. RNAcentral's name for it is "bacterial SSU rRNA". It matches the Rfam family "Bacterial small subunit ribosomal RNA", at positions 66 to 724 of the family's 1533-position model. The record is from RNAcentral. Lineage: Bacteria; Pseudomonadati; Pseudomonadota.